This 1746-nucleotide long non-coding RNA is filed under the name Oreochromis niloticus (Nile tilapia). RNAcentral describes it as "lncRNA (ENSONIG00000033394.1)". The record is from RNAcentral. Lineage: Eukaryota; Metazoa; Chordata; Actinopteri; Cichliformes; Cichlidae.
AUGCAUCAGAACAGCGAGCAACAUUCAAACACAUUUAGUUCACAAAGAGCAGACAUACCUGCCACAACAUCAAUCCCCCAGCAAUUUGUUUCCACUUCUCCAAUUCAGAGUCAAAGAAGUAGAAAUACAACCUUAAUCAUGACAACUCCACACAGUUACUCCUCAGUGGAAACAUGGAAGUCCAUAAGCGACUACUUUUUUGGUGCAAUUGUACCACAGUGGCGAUCUCUGCAGUUAAACCCAGAGUCCUGCAACACUAAGCUGCCUUCCACUUUGUUAAAGGACAUGUUGAAACUUUGCUCCAUGUUAGUGGAUGCAACAGAGACAACCAUGGAGAAGGGAGCUCCGGUGUCCACACAGACAGAGGAGUGUCUUCAGACAGUGGACGCUGAUUCCCAUGAGAAAACAGAGGUAACAGGAGCAAAGGAAAGCAUCGUAACAGAAAUAUCUGUAGACAACUGCGGUGAUAAUAAAAAAACAGAAACUCCAGAACUGGAGACAGAGGCCAGUGCAUGUCUUCAGCAUGAGGACACACAAUCCCAAACCACAGCCACAGCAGAACCAAGAAAGAGCUGUAUGAAGAAAAAGUCCACAGCUGAUACAAAAGACUUGGACAAAAUAGAACCUUGUCCCAUGAAAAAGCCUGCAAUGCCAGCUGCAUAUGAGUCAGACGUUGAUAACCGCAAGGAAACAGAGGCAAAAGGAGCAAAAGACAGCAUCCUGAAAGAAAUAUCUGUAGACAACUGCGGUGAUAAUAAAAUAACAGAAACUCCAGAACUGGAGACAGAGGCCGGCAAAUGUCUUCAGCAUGUGGACACACAAUCCCAAGCCACAGCAGAACCAAAGAAAAGCUGUAUGAAGAAAAAGCCCCCAGCUGAUACAAAAGACUGGGACAAAAUAGAAGCUUGUCCCGUGGAAAAGCCUGUGAUUCCAGCUGUACAUGAGUCAGAAGUUGAUUCUUCUUCUGUCAUCAGUCUGGCAUCUGAUGAUCUGUCUGCAGAAAAAAUGUAUGUUUAUGCAGUUAUUCAGUUGGUAGUUUCACGGGCCUUAAAGAAAGUCUCCUCUAAACACAAAGACUCCACAUGGAUUCUCACUCCUAAAUCCAACUGUCAUCGUCUGCUUGAGAAAAUCUGGCCUGAAAUUGAGGGAAAACAUUUGGAUCUAUCUCCAAAGAGGCUGACCAGUAUUGAGAAAGCCAUUUUCACCAAUCUUUGUAAAGCACAUAAGUGCAAGGAAAAACAUUUGAUUUCAAGUCUGAAGGAAGAGCUUGAGGACGAUAUUACUGUCCCAACAUUCACCAAACAUCUGCUGGCAUUACCCAAAAGAGUACUCACUUUAUCUAAAAACCGAGACGAGUACAGAGAACUUGUGGAAUGCUUUGCUAGAGAUCUGGUUAUGCACGCAAUGAGCAACAUAAAGGGGUUGAAGAAAUGGCGUCCAGCUGAAGAAGUUAUACAGAGGCUUACCGAAAAAUUCUGGGCUAAAAUUGUGUCCCAAAAUCUUGAAAUCUCCUUGGAGAACAUGGAAGAUCUCACUGUGAGAGUAUACAAUGAACUCCGGGAAAAGUGGAGAGGUGCUGACAAUGUCCUGGGGUUUAUGAAUAAUGGAAAUCCAAGACUUGACAAAAUGAUUGUCAGAAUUUUCAAAACAAAUUCAGUGGCAGCUAUGAAGAUGAGAAGAACCAGAACAACCACUGCAGAAGUGACAGAGAUCAUCAUGUCAGCUGGCCUUAUAAAAGAUGAGUAA